Molecule: microRNA precursor, 203 nt
Filed under: Oryza brachyantha (malo sina)
Lineage: Eukaryota; Viridiplantae; Streptophyta; Magnoliopsida; Poales; Poaceae
Description: MIR812 microRNA precursor family
Rfam family: MIR812 microRNA precursor family
Source: Rfam by way of RNAcentral
AAUAAAUCAAUUUUUUACGUUUUACCAACAAUUUUUGACUCUUUGUCUUAUUCAAAAAAAUUUUGCGAUUCAGAUUUUUAUUUUUAUUAGAUGAUAAAUCAUGAAUAAUACUUUACGUGUGACUAAUUUUUUUCUAAUUUUUUUAAAAAAUUUUCAAAUAAGACAAAUGAUCAAACGUUGGACAUGGAACCGGAGAAUUGAUU